GUGAAUCAUCAAAUCUUUGAACGCAUAUUGCACUCUCUGGUAUUACGGAGAGUAUGUCUAUUUGAGGGUUAUUAGAAAUAAUAUAAAUUCCAAGAUUUCCCGGAAUUUAAAAUGGGUAGUUCAUAUUUUGUGGUUGACUAAAAUCAAAGAUAAGCUCAUUUUCUUGGGUUGCGUGAUACUUUAAGUUAUCUCGUGACUUAACCAGGAAUCCUCGGGUGUGUUAUGUAUUUUGCAGGAGAUAAAAACUUCUACAGAUUUAUCUCAUGUGAUAUA
RNAcentral lists this unclassified non-coding RNA (273 nucleotides) under Archaeospora sp. RNAcentral's name for it is "partial contains 5.8S ribosomal RNA and internal transcribed spacer 2". The stretch from base 1 to 71 matches the Rfam family "5.8S ribosomal RNA", at positions 84 to 154 of the family's 154-position model. The record is from RNAcentral. Lineage: Eukaryota; Fungi; Glomeromycota; Glomeromycetes; Archaeosporales; Archaeosporaceae.